This 497-nucleotide ribosomal RNA is filed under the name uncultured bacterium. RNAcentral's name for it is "partial 16S ribosomal RNA". It matches the Rfam family "Bacterial small subunit ribosomal RNA", at positions 28 to 507 of the family's 1533-position model. The record is from RNAcentral.
GAUGAACGCUGGCGGCGUGCCUAAUACAUGCAAGUCGAGCGAACAGACGAGGAGCUUGCUCCUCUGACGUUAGCGGCGGACGGGUGAGUAACACGUGGAUAACCUACCUAUAAGACUGGGAUAACUUCGGGAAACCGGAGCUAAUACCGGAUAAUAUAUUGAACCGCAUGGUUCAAUAGUGAAAGACGGUUUUGCUGUCACUUAUAGAUGGAUCCGCGCCGCAUUAGCUAGUUGGUAAGGUAACGGCUUACCAAGGCAACGAUGCGUAGCCGACCUGAGAGGGUGAUCGGCCACACUGGAACUGAGACACGGUCCAGACUCCUACGGGAGGCAGCAGUGGGGAAUCUUCCGCAAUGGGCGAAAGCCUGACGGAGCAACGCCGCGUGAGUGAUGAAGGUCUUCGGAUCGUAAAACUCUGUUAUUAGGGAAGAACAAAUGUGUAAGUAACUAUGCACGUCUUGACGGUACCUAAUCAGAAAGCCCCGGCUAACUACGUG